AGAUUAUUAUCCUAAUUUAAAGAUGAGACAAUUAGAGUCACAGAAAUUAAGUGAAUUCUUUAAGGUAUUAAAACUGACCAGAAUCCAACCACAGGAUAUCUGAGUUCAUAUCUCAUACACCUUUCUGCCAAACCAUUCCCUUGAAAUAUGUAAUUAUUCUUUCUUUUUGAGUACAGAACAUACAGAAGACCUGACUACCUAAUAAAAUGUAAGAUUGAUGACUUCACAUAUGCAAAUGAUGGAAUUCUGGGCCUUCAAACAAUGAUUAAGUGAAUUCAAAGCUUCUACAGAGUUAGUCAGUCCAACCUCUUCCUAAAUGUAUUUUUUAUCUCAGACUUUCCCCAGAGACUAGAUUCCAGGUCAUGCAGAAUCAUGUGAAAUCAUGUGGAUAAAGAAAUUUGCCCACUAUAUUAGUGUCAGACAUUCCUGGAUAAAUGAUGAUGAAGACAGAAGUGGGAGUGAAUGACACUGAAGACAGAAUUGGUAGUUGGAGACAAGGAUGAGGGCAGGAGUAGAGAGAUGCGGAAAUUCACCAGAUGAUGUUUACUCAGAAGCACCCAGGGAAUACUUUAGAGUCUACUGAGGAGGGGAACAGUAUCUUCCUGUUACUGGCUGUCCUUGUGGAAAGAACAAACUUUUAUUAUUCCCUUGGACCAGGAACCUUUCAUAUUCAAUCUCACAGGCAAACUACAGCUUUUUCUGCUAUAACAGAGCCCUACUGACUUUGUCAGUACAUUUCUCACAGAUGCAUCCUAGAAGACCAAUAUCUACCCUGUUAUUUACUCAGAUACGUUUUGAAAUGUUCACCACAAUCUCUAGACACGUGGCUUCUUAAAAAAAAAAAAAAAGGAAAGAAAAAAGAAAGAAAAUGGACUGCCUCUUUAAAGCCCUCUCCUGGAUCCACUCUAGACUAUGCACUGUAUCCAAAACCUUUGUAUCCUAACUGCCCUAUACUCUUCAAUGAUGUCUUCCAAAUCAACAUCAGCAAGUUGUUAUUCAUUGCCUCAAAGAUGCCCAGCAGGCAUUAGACUCUGUAAAGAAAUGAGAAGUAAAAGACUUUCAGAAUUUCUUUUUAAAAUAUCUUAAAUCUUAUUGAAGUAAAAGAAAACAGACUCAUGAAAUAUACAUAUUUUUUUCUAAGAAGAAUGAGUGUAAUCAAAUGUUGAUUGUGUGAUUCUAACAGCAACUGUGUGAGAAGAUAGGAAGAGGGAGCAAUAACUGCUCUAGAUAGAGAGUCUUAAAUUGGAUUUGGAACAAUGGGCAGAGUUACACAGGCUAACCAAAGGAGGUGGAUGUAAUCUGCCAUAUAUCAGAAAGAUGGCAUAGGAGCAGAGUCUACUUAAGGUCACAGAAAGAUAAUUGUCUGGAGUUGGUACGUAAACUAAGAAACAAGUAAUGAGCAUGUCCUACAUGAAGUGAAGCACUGAGCAGGCUAAAUGAUACAGGAUGUGGAUUUGCCAGGUCAGGAUGUACCGUCUAAC
Molecule: long non-coding RNA, 1481 nt
Filed under: Vulpes vulpes (red fox)
Lineage: Eukaryota; Metazoa; Chordata; Mammalia; Carnivora; Canidae
Description: lncRNA (ENSVVUG00000003138.1)
Source: RNAcentral